GGGCCGCUAGCUCAAUCAGGCAGAGCAACUGACUCUUAAUCAGUAGGUUGCAGGUUCGAUUCCUGCGCGGCUCACCA
Molecule: transfer RNA, 77 nt
Filed under: Anaerolineales bacterium
Lineage: Bacteria; Bacillati; Chloroflexota; Anaerolineae; Anaerolineales
Description: tRNA-Lys
Rfam family: tRNA
About the family: Transfer RNA (tRNA) molecules are approximately 80 nucleotides in length. Their secondary structure includes four short double-helical elements and three loops (D, anti-codon, and T loops).
Source: RNAcentral